Molecule: ribosomal RNA, 253 nt
Filed under: uncultured bacterium
Lineage: Bacteria
Description: partial 16S ribosomal RNA
Rfam family: Bacterial small subunit ribosomal RNA
Source: RNAcentral
UACGAAGGGGGCUAGCGUUGUUCGGAAUCACUGGGCGUAAAGCGCACGCAGGCGGAUCGAUAAGUCGGGGGUGAAAGCCCGGGGCUCAACCUCGGAAUUGCCUUCGAUACUGUCGGUCUCGAGUCCGGGAGAGGUGAGUGGAAUUCCUAGUGUAGAGGUGAAAUUCGUAGAUAUUAGGAAGAACACCAGUGGAGAAGGCGGCUCAAUGGCCCGGUACUGACGAUCAGGUGCGAAAGCGUGGGGAGCAAACAGG